RNAcentral lists this unclassified non-coding RNA (295 nucleotides) under Hevea brasiliensis (rubber tree). The record is from RNAcentral. Lineage: Eukaryota; Viridiplantae; Streptophyta; Magnoliopsida; Malpighiales; Euphorbiaceae.
CUGAUGAGGCUGCCAGAGCUAGGUCAGUCCUAUUUCUGCACUUAUUAAAAUGAGUAGAUCCAGGAGUCUUUUUCUUUUGCAUGAGGUAAAAUCUGUUUUGUUUACCAUAGGAUAAAAUACAAUUAUACUGUGAAGAAUCUAUGUUAGAUGCACAAUAACAUGUUUAUGCUAGUACAGGUACACAAAACACUGCAGCCUUGUUAAAUAGUCUGCUAUUUAUGAUCUGAAGCACUACCUAUUUUCUUGCAGGUAUCAAAAACGGAUGUUCAAUAUCAUUGAUGAUGUUCUUGAGUGG